AGCGACGGUCGGCAGCACAUGGUUCUACAUCGAUGAUAUACACCGAAUCAAACGUAACGAUGAUGUUGUUAUGUGUGUGAAUAUAACGGUGUGUACUCUACGUUGGUAUGGAUUCAGCCUAUUGCGGCCUGCAGGACUAUAAGAGAUCCGGGAAACGAUGGGGGAAAAUGCAGCAAGGCAGCUGGUUUUUCCCAACAACAGUGCUGAAAUCCCAUCCCACGCUGGCGGCAGGCUCGGUCCUUUUUUCAUUUAUUUUUCUAUUUUAUUUAUAAAUACACGUACUGCAUAUCCAUUGCUUAUUUUUAUUUUCAAACAUUUUUUGUUUUCUUUUGUUUUCUUUUGUUUUGUUGUGUUUGUGUUUUCGUUUUUGUUUUUGUUUUUGUUUUUUUGUUUUGUUUUUGUUUUUGUUUUUUGGAAUUUGUUUCCAUCCCAAAUAGUCUACGUUUGAAGAUCGUGCUUUCUUUUUGUUUCCAGACGAUGGGCUUUUCUUUUAUUUGCCGAUUGAUAUUUGGCUUCGGAGAAGUAAUAUAAAGUGAAACGUUCGAUGGCAAGCCUGUUUCAUUCACUCAUUUUUUUAUUCGGCUUUCCAAGAACAGAACUUUUAUUUUCUUCUCCCAUCCGUAUCCAUCUUAUCCCAGCCGUUUUAUUUUAUUUUUAUUUUAUAUUUUAUAUAUAUUUUUUUUUUUUACUUUCGUAUAUAUAUAUUUUGUUUUUCUUUUCUUUUUUUGAAAAUCCUGCUUCUGUUUCUCCCCUUUUUUUCUUUUUCACCGGUUCGUAUUCCACCAUCCACUCAUCCGAGCCAAAGCUCUGGAACGCGAGAGAAUCUUUAGCGCUCUACCACGCACCGAUACCACAAUACGCGAGCGUAUACGUGCAUACCAGACACACGCACGCACAUCAGACACGUUCACCAUCGCACACACACACACCCACACAACCCACCGACCAAACAAAACCGAGAAAACCAACCUCCUCACAGAAUAAGUUGAUGAAAUCUAGGCAAAAGAGUCUUUUCUCUCUCUCUCUCUCUCUGGUCCCCCCUCUGCCUUUGUCUCUUUUCUCUUCUUCUUCUCCGUCUGUCUGUCCUUCUCCUUUUUUUUUUUUUAUUCUCUGUCUGACUUUUCCUCACUCCCUUUCUCUCUCUCUUUCUCUCUCUCUCUCUCUCUCUCUGUUUCUUCCUCUCAGCUCCUAUGUGUUUUUUUGGCUUGGUCUCUCUCGGCCAUCCCGGACCACCUCAAGACUUUGCACCGGCCCGAAUGUAUAUACACCCGCCUUCAGUCCGUCCUUCCGCCUCCGCUCGAGCGCACGCCGUGUCUCUCACCCCAUUCUCUGCCUCCCCGUCCUCUCCUCCCCCCUCCCCCCUCCCCGUCCUCU
Molecule: long non-coding RNA, 1374 nt
Organism: Daphnia magna
Lineage: Eukaryota; Metazoa; Arthropoda; Branchiopoda; Diplostraca; Daphniidae
Exons: 3
Source: RefSeq, a predicted model, not a curated record